CUUUCAGUCCGUAGGCCGACGCUCUAUCCAUUGAGCCAAACCGGUUUCGGCUCACUGAGUUUUUUGAGCACCUUUAUUACCAUUAUUUUGAAUUCUUUGUCUGACAAAUUGCUUGCCUCCAUUUCAUUUAGUUCCUUUUCUAGCAAUUCAUCCUUUUUCAUUUGUGGGUUGUUUCUUAGUCUCCCCAUUUUUGCUAUCCCUUUGUAUUUGUUUUUAUGUAUUAGGUCAAACUGCUAUGCCUCCCAGACUUUGUGCGUUGCUCUUAUGUAGUAGGGGUUUUGUGGGACCUAGAGGUGUAGUUUCUUAGAUCUGAGCUGGGUGCUCUAGGAAAGCCCCUUGCUUGAGUUAUUUGGGUGCUCCUGUUGUAGUUGGGUCUUGAAUGUUAUUGUCCUGUUUAUGUAUGGAAUCUCCUCUCAGGCUGGUGGACUAUGUGGCUCACCCCGGAACUGACCACAAGCUGUUGUGGAGGUGCUGACUAAACAGAACAAAAUACAAUAGCAAAACACAAAACAAAAGAAACAAAACAAAAAUAUGCACAAGAUCCCUACAGCACCAAUGAAAGCAACCACCAGAGAAGAGAUAAUUAGGAAAGAAAAAGCAAGAGCAGGAAUGACAGAAGAAAAGAAAGAAAGAACAAAUAAGAGAAAACAAAACAAACAAAAACACACACAAAAGGGGGGGAGGGGAGAAAAAGGAAUAUGUAGGUGCAGAGCUGACAUAAAAUAAGAAUACUGGGUUAGGGGAAUAAGGAGAGGAAAACAGUUUAAAGUAAAGGAGGAAGAAAAGAAAAGAAGAAAAAAGGAAAGGAAAAUAGAGGAGAAAGCAAAUAAACCCAACAUAAGAAAAGGAAAAAAGAUGAGAAACCAGGUGGAAAAGAAAAGAAAGAAAACAUUUUGAGUAGGAAAAGGGAAGAGGAAAGUUACAUAUAUGAACAGAACAAUAGAGUCUAGAAUAAUAACAAGUCAAUAAAGAAGAUAAGUAAAAAAGAUACAUUUUUUAAAAAGUAAAAAAGAGAAAGAAAAAAGGGGAAGAAAAAGAAAAAAUAAAGAAGAAAGUGAAGUGGCAUUCCUUUCAGCAGAGUUUAGUGCCCCAUGGGAGCUUCCUUUGGAUCCUGCUCUUCUGAUGACUGGCUGACUGCUCUGUCUGCCAAUUCUGGGCUUCCUGUGAGGUACGUGGGUGCUAACCACUGUCAGAAACUGUCAUCAUUUGGCUUUCAGCGAUCUUCAGUUUGUGUCUUUCUCCAUAGGACUUGGCUGCAUGUGGGAGAGGCCAAGCUCCCCUGUAAAGCAGCUUUGUUAGCAGCAUGGGGUCCAGGGCUGGGUCAGCAAACUUCUCCAGGUUCUCUGGGAUCCACCUCUGCCCACCUUUGCCUGCUGGCCAGCUGUCAAUCUUAAUCAUUCAAAAGUCUGUUUCUGAAAGGUCUUUAGGUGGAAUUGGGAGUAUAGAUAUCUGGGUCUCCUGUGAUGGGGAGGUACUGUUCAGAUUUCAGGGAUUGUAGUGUGUGUGUCCCUGUUCCAGAGCUGCUACUCUGCAAGUUGCCCAAAAUAUUAGUUUGCCCUGGGCUGGGUGGAGAUCCUCGUAUGCAGUCAGUGGGGUCAGCUGGAAACCUGGAGUUUCUAUCAGCUCUCCUGUGAGGGAAAAGUACCAGUCAGGAUUCUGGAAUAGUGGGGUGUACAGCCCCUCCCCCAAUCCAAUCACAGGUGCUCCCAGAGACUAUUCAACCCAUAGGCUUGGCCUCUGCUUUUGUUUCUUCUGAAAAGGUAAAAAUGCAGGGUGUGGUAGGCAGGGCUCCUGAGGGUGGGGCAGGCUGUAGCAUGUAGGGUGGGUUUUUUCUUUUCCUGCCCUGCUGGCUACUGGGAGCAGCUAGUUCCUCUCAGGAAAAAUGGCCGAUUAGGUUUGACCACAUGCAUGACUUCUGGCUGCUGCUUUUCCACGUCUCCCUGCAAUACUUCCCACCCCAGCCUCUCCUUAGGCACUUUGUCCACACCGCCCUCCCUGCAUCAAAGCCUCAGGUGAGCGAGUAGCUGCAAAUAAAAACUCCUGCGCUCUGGGUUUAAAAAAAAAGAAAAGAAAACGAAACAGGCUUUCUCUCCCACCAGCUCCGGUCGGUCAGCUCCAGACUCUGGCAGCCAGCAGCUCUGCUGCCUUUCGCACUGGAUGUUUCAUUGGCGACCUGUCUCGGCUCUGGUUCUGAGCCUGGGUUCUAGGCCUCUAUCUUCUGAAGGAACAGACCCUCCUAUAGCCAAGAGCUUCCUCCUCACUCUCGGUCUGCCACCCCUGGAAGUGGGUCAGCUCCUCUUACAACCUCACCCUUCCUUCCAGUCUCCAAGUGUUUUCUGUCCUUCCUUGAUAUAAGUCUCCUCCUCAGUUGGACCUCAGCUGGUAAUUCUGGGUGUAUGUUCCCUGCUUUAGUUUUAUUUCCAGUGUUAACAUAAAAACCAUUGAAACCUGUAAA
Long non-coding RNA from Myotis lucifugus (little brown bat), 2455 nucleotides. RefSeq lists it as uncharacterized. The record is from RefSeq and is a predicted model, not a curated record. The transcript has 2 exons. NCBI's taxonomy places the organism in Eukaryota, Metazoa, Chordata, Mammalia, Chiroptera, Vespertilionidae.